RNAcentral lists this ribosomal RNA (466 nucleotides) under uncultured bacterium. RNAcentral describes it as "bacterial SSU rRNA". It matches the Rfam family "Bacterial small subunit ribosomal RNA", at positions 29 to 524 of the family's 1533-position model. The record is from RNAcentral.
AACGAACGCUGGCGGCAGGCCUAACACAUGCAAGUCGAACGCCGUAGCAAUACGGAGUGGCAGACGGGUGAGUAACGCGUGGGAACAUACCCUCCGGUUCGGAAUAACUCAGGGAAACUUGAGCUAAUACCGGAUACGUCCAAGGUUUUAAUCGGCCUUGGAGAAAGAUUUAUCGCCGGAGGAUUGGCCCGCGUCUGAUUAGCUUGUUGGUGAGGUAAUGGCUCACCAAGGCGACGAUCAGUAGCUGGUCUGAGAGGAUGAUCAGCCACAUUGGGACUGAGACACGGCCCAGACUCCUACGGGAGGCAGCAGUGGGGAAUCUUGGACAAUGGGCGCAAGCCUGAUCCAGCCAUGCCGCGUGAGUGAAGAAGGCCUUAGGGUUGUAAAGCUCUUUACCAGGGACGAUAAUGACGGUACCUGGAGAAUAAGCCCCGGCAAACUUCGUGCCAGCAGCCGCCGCGGUAAC